GUCGCGUGAGUGAAGAAGGCCCUUGGGUCGUAAAGCUCUUUUAUGGGGGAAGAUGAUGACGGUACCCCAAGAAUAAGCACCGGCUAACUAUGUGCCAGCAGCCGCGGUAAUACAUAGGGUGCGAGCGUUGUUCGGAAUUACUGGGCGUAAAGGGCGCGCAGGCGGAAUAGUAAGUCGGAGGUGAAAGCCCGGGGCUCAACCCCGGAGGGUCUUUCGAAACUGCUAAUCUAGAGAGGGUCAGGGGCCGGCAGAAUUCCUGGUGUAGAGGUGAAAUUCGUAGAUAUCAGGAGGAAUACCGGUGGCGAAGGCGGCCGGCUGGGGCCACUCUGACGCUGAGGCGCGAAAGCGUGGGGAGCAAACAGGAUUAGAUACCCUGGUAGUCCACGCCGUAAACGAUGAGCACUGGACGUCCGGAGGGUUCGACCCUUCUG
This 431-nucleotide ribosomal RNA is filed under the name uncultured SAR324 cluster bacterium. RNAcentral's name for it is "bacterial SSU rRNA". It matches the Rfam family "Bacterial small subunit ribosomal RNA", at positions 396 to 842 of the family's 1533-position model. The record is from RNAcentral. Lineage: Bacteria; Deltaproteobacteria.